UGCUGCCAUGACGUGCCUCUAACUGGAACUUAGCCUGAUUGAGAAAAAAAGCCCCUCCAUCCAUGAGAAUGAGGUACUGUUUUUUCAUCACUUCAUGGGUUCUCGUAGCAGUAUAACUUUGUGAUUUUCUAGCUGACUGCUGCCAUGACGUGCCUCUAACUGGAACUUAGCCUGAUUGAGAAAAAAAGCCCCUCCAUCCAUGAGAAUGAGUUGACUGCUGCCAUGAUGUGCCUCUAACUGGAACUUAGCCUGAUUGAGAAAAAAAAAACCCUCCAUCCAUGAGAAUGAGGUACUGUUCUUUCAUCACUUCAUGGGUUCUCGUAGCAGUAUAACUUUGUGAUUUUCUCGCUGACUGCUGCCAUGACGUGCCUCUAACUGGAACUUAGCCUGAUUGAGAAAAAAAGCCCCUGCAUCCAUGAGAAUGAGGUACUGUUCUUUCAUCACUUCAUGGGUUCUCGUAGCAGUAUAACUUUGGGUAGUUUCAUUUUAAAUCGAACAACGUGUGAAAGUCGUAUUUUUUAAUUCGCCCAGAAAAAAUAUAUGUUAGAGGACAGCUCAAACGGCGCAAAUCGCGCCACGUGCGACGCUCCCGCGUGGAGUAGUUUCUGCGCGGGAGAGGAGGAAAGUCUGAGGCUGCUUGAGCGCGCUUUCUUCUGGACCGACUUUGACGGGAUCUAGCACCGCUGAUUUUUUGCGUCGGGGCUAGAGGUUUUUUGUGACUAUAGGCUGUACCAUAGACACUGUCGACAGCCACCCACAGAACUCUGAGUGUCACAAAAAAAAUGCAACAAUACAUACAUACCAAAUGACUGUUGUAUGACGACCGCUUCCUUUUCAAAAUUGGCCAUAAACACGUUAAACUUUGCGAAAACCGCCAGGUUUAAGGUGUACUAUGGCAAAAACUACUGCAUUGACUGCUUUGAAAACCAGCAGGCUUGUAGAAUGGGUCCUCGUGAACGGCCACAAGGCUUUGAAGAAUUCCAGCUGUUAUGGAAAGUAUGUUUAAAAAAUCGCAAAAUCGCAAGAAAAAGCGUCCAUAGUCGGGGCGUUUUAGGGUACUAAAAGUUGAAAUUUCCCCGAAAUUCUUCCUUCAGCGCAUUUUCCAAACCCAGUCGUCUGUUUCAGCACCAUAAUUAUGCGUGUAACGCGAGCGAUGCAGCCGUCCGAUUAUUUCAAGCGUACUAUGGUUUUGGUGCUUACCGAAAACUUUGACCCCGCGUUAAAUGACAUGGGCUCAACAUUCCCCAGUAAAACUUUGCGAAAUGUCUAUUAACACCAUAGUGUAUGCACGAUAAUUUUUUGGUCCAGAAGUGCGGGGGGUCGAGCAGGACCUUUGGAUCAUUUGGCGUGGAAUGACCCAUUAGGAAGGCAGAACUACGGCCACAGGGGACUGAAAGUUACACCACCUGAGAAUACAAAUUUGUGGCCGCGUGGUUGCAGCCGUCUCUUAGCUUGGGCGCAAUAAGUGAUAGUUCCGAAGCUGUGCAUGUUAUCUUUAAUUAGUUUUAUGCCCCGUAGCGUUAUUUCGGAACCACGACGAGUACUACAAAGCCCUUAAGACCGCUGUGAUGACAGUAUGUUGCCUCUCAAGUAUAACCCGUUCGCCCUCCACGAGCUGUGUCAUUGCCACCGUGGGAAUCAAAAUUUCCGACAGAAAAACGCACAACUAAAAUCCCUCGUUUCCGGUAGCCGUAGGCACCUUAAACCAUCGGUGUGAUCUUCAGUAAUUCUUUUGGCAUCCAUGCGCUUGAACCCAGUCACUUUAUAUCAUGUGAAAGGCCAUGUCUAAAGCUAUCGGAUGAUGCUAAUCCAAUGGUGGCAGCCAUCACCUGCAGGGGUCUCGCAAUGGGCACAUUUUACGUUUUUCGAAACUUCCACAACGUUCUUUUACCAAUGAAAAGGAUGUGACUUUCACACUGCCUGGGGGACUGGCGGCAACCUGAAACAAAAGCUACGAUGUUACCAGUGGAUAAAGAUCUUUACGAAGCGCUUCGUUUCCUCUCACUGCUUUCUCGGUAUGUUCGUCGGACUGGGACUUCUCAUCAAUGGCGCACAGGCAACUCAUGUACUCUCCCACGGUUUGAAUGAGCCUGACAGAACUGGGACACCAUUGGGUAAACGUAAAGUGAUGCUCUGGGGACACUACAACAAGCUCACGCAGUGUGGUCAUUGAUCUCUCUGUCAGCGGGAGACCUGUAGCAAAGAAGAGGUUGAAGGUCGCCUGCUCGUGGACCCUGCCUGACAAAAAAAAAUGGCUGCGCAUCUCUCAGGUAAAAAUAAAAGAUUGUCUCACUUGGCGUCUAAAGUAGAGACAUGACGGCACCUUUUCAAAAAUAAUAAAGGAAAUCGAAGAUGGCAUUUUUGGGAAAAUUGAGAUGCAACAUUGGCAAUUUUCGCCUACCAUGUGCGAUUCUCAAGCUAAUAACACAGAAACCACUGGGCUGAGUAAAAUGAACUGUAUACAGCACGAAAGUUCUUUCAACGUCCUAUCGAAUGGCACUAAGCUCGAUGUCCUCAGACGUUCCAUCAUGAAGCAAAUUGGUAACAAAGUUUGGCCUUUUUGAACGUUUACGCCAAGUUUUGCAUUUUUUAACAGAAAAUCUGUGGACCUCAGAGUUCUGUGGGUGGCUGUCGACAUUGUCUAUGGUCCAGCCUAUAAUCACAAAAAACCUCCAGUCCCUAGGCAAAAAAAUCAGCGGUGCUAGAUGAAGAUGCUACUGUCCUUGGAAUAGCUGAGAUACAUUUGCCUUGGCAAUUUUUCUGGUGGCCCGGUUCCAGCAUGGUGUGCCAACAACCACGCCAUACACUGUAUGCAACGGGAUAGGAUGACAAAAGCGAAGGAUAAGUAGCCUAUAUGAAGUCCGUGGCCUAUGGCAUGGCCACACGGCUGCGAACAGGUGUGUCACAUGACACACGUGCAUUUCCUAACAUACUUCUCUUUCUUUUUGGCAGGGCAUUCAUGAGUGCAGAAGUAAUAUGCAGAUGCAGCUGUUGAAAGUCGUAUUUAUUCUGCCUUUGUAGCUGUGCAAAUCUACAUAGGAAUUGGGCAGCUAUUAAGGAAACCAUAAAAAAAUUUAUAAUUAGAAAUAGAGAAAAAGUUGCAAAGAUGAAUGUGCACAGAGAAGGUGUACAAUGAUGACAGGGAUGCGUCUGAAGAAAAGCCUAUGUUGAUGUCACUGGCAUGUCCCAACCUGAGGCUCUUCUUAUACUAAUAAAGAAGUCAUGGACUUCUACGUGGGUACUCCAGUAGAGCUUAUGGACUAGGACACGUUUAUAGCACACAUCUAUGUACUGAAAAGGAAAACAUCAUGCAUUCAUUUGUUACUGAUCGGUGGGAAGUGAAACUAUAGCAAACUGAUAUACAUCUUGUGUCUGUUUCCUGUUAUCGUUCAUGUGUUCUUUCAAUAAAGCAAUGUUUACAUUCUUC
Molecule: long non-coding RNA, 3427 nt
Organism: Ornithodoros turicata
Lineage: Eukaryota; Metazoa; Arthropoda; Arachnida; Ixodida; Argasidae
Exons: 2
Source: RefSeq, a predicted model, not a curated record